UACGGAGGAGGCAAGCGUUAUCCGGAAUUAUUGGGCGUAAAGAGUCCGUAGGUGGCGAUUCAAGUCUGCUGUCAAAGCGUGGAGCUCAACUCCAUCAAGGCAGUGGAAACUGAAUGGCUAGAGUCCGGUAGGGGUAGCGGGAAUUCCCAGUGUAGCGGUGAAAUGCGUAGAGAUUGGGAAGAACAUCGGUGGCGAAAGCGCGCUACUGGGCCGGAACUGACACUGAGGGACGAAAGCUACGGGAGCGAAAGGG
RNAcentral lists this ribosomal RNA (253 nucleotides) under uncultured bacterium. RNAcentral's name for it is "partial 16S ribosomal RNA". It matches the Rfam family "Bacterial small subunit ribosomal RNA", at positions 524 to 776 of the family's 1533-position model. The record is from RNAcentral.